CUGUACCUACGGGACGCAGCAGUGGGGAAUAUUGGACAAUGGGGCGAAAGCCUGAUGCAGCACCGCCGCGUGAGCGAUGAAGGCCUUCGGGUCGUAAAGCUCUGUCCUCAAGGAAGAUAAUGACGGUACUUGAGGAGGAAGCCCCGGCUAACUACGUGCCAGCAGCCGCGGUAAUACGUAGGGGGAUAGCGUUAUCCGGAAUUACUGGGCGUAAAGGGUGCGUAGGUGGUUUCUUAAGUCAGAGGUGAAAGGCUACGGCUCAACCGUAGUAAGCCUUUGAAACUGGGGAACUUGAGUGCAGGAGG
Molecule: ribosomal RNA, 305 nt
Filed under: uncultured bacterium
Lineage: Bacteria
Description: bacterial SSU rRNA
Rfam family: Bacterial small subunit ribosomal RNA
Source: RNAcentral